CCACAGGCAGAGCAAACCUGGCCUUGGCCCUGAUGCAGCUGAGAUCACCAGUUAAUUGCCUCAUUUUCUGGGCUUUUCAGAAGCCCAUCCUUCAUCCUGCCUCCUCCAACAGUCUGCAACCUCUACAGCAAGGAGAGAAUUUCCACCUCCCAAAAGAUGGGAUGGAGCACCAAGGGGAUCCAGAUCAGUUCUACAACAGCCAGGACAGAUGCCCAUUCCAAAGCAAUUACUGCAUGGGAGAUGCAAAGUGGCUGGAAGAACCUGCUCAUUCUGGGUCUGUAAUGGAGCCUGUGAGGAGCUCAGCUUGCUGGGGUGCCAGCAGGUCAGUGCCUCUUCUGGAGCUCACUCCUCAUCGCACAGACACACCAAGAGCUCCAGGGAAAGCAGGAGCAGAGCACUGGGCUCAGGAUGGUGCCACAAUGCCACGGGUGAGUGUCCUUGCAAGCUGCCCAUGGAGAAAACCCAUCAGCCUGCACCAGCAGAGCCGUAUUUCAUCCGCACACAAAAACCUGGGCUUGUCCUGGGAGGCUGUGCAAGAAAUGAGGCUCCAUGGUUGGAGUGAAACUAACAAUAAACACUAUGGGAAUAAAUCACAGAAAUUCCAUUUUCUUCAUGGUGGAAAAAGCCCAUUCUUUAUUCACAUAACUCAUUUUUAUACAGUUUUACAAUUUCCAAUUGGUCAGUAGCUUUCUUGCCAAUUCUUGGUCAGUAACAAGUUGUUAUCCUGUAUUGAUUGGUCACUCAAACUAUUGGUGUGUACGUGCAGGAAAAGUUGUUUGUGAGAGACAGUUUUUAUUUUUCUAUCUAAGGGUGUAAAAACAGUUUAUACAGGUGCUGCUUGUUUUUCAUGCAGGAAUAGAUUGUUAUGUUAAUGAACUGCUCACACCAGGAUUGCUUUCACAUGGGAACCUGCAAAGUGCCAGCUUGACACGGCCAGCCACUGAAUUUAGGAGAGCAGGACCGAUUUUAUGAAGCCUUUCUUUAUGAUUUUUCUACCUCAUUGCAACAAAAUACCACAUUGCCUUCUGCCAAGAGAGUGGAGAGCAAGGGGAAGCCAGUGGCAGAGAGAGUGGGACAAGCACAGAACAGCAAAGGAUGUUUGUUGGCUCUUCACUGUGUCUCUUACCAACCCCACCACCAUCAAAAGAUUGUGACCAUGGAAUGAACUCACCUCUGGGACCCACUGGAUAUUUUUCAUUAGAAAUUUUUUUAAACAAGACAUGGCUUUUUUGUGCAAACAUUUAAGAAGUACUUGUUUUGAAUAUUUUUUUCUGAGCAAAAGAAAAGCAAAGAAAACCCAGUUUUUCCCCAAAAUGAGACACAAGAAAUUUCUGUUUUCACAGCUUUUGAAUGUUCUGAACUUUCUUAUUUUCCAAUAUGAAAUGUAUUUGGUUGUCCUUGGUGUCCCAGAUGUUCUGGGGGAACUUGGGCCCUUGCAGGGCUGGAGGAGUUUGGCUCCAGAGUGUUGGAGGUUGAAAAAACAUUUUUUUAAAAUGUUUUGGAAAACCAGUGUCCAGUUGAAACACGUGCACUCAUAUACAUCUGUUUAUUCAGUUUGAUUGUGAGAAGUUUAUUUCUAAAUUACCUUAUCACCAAUAUAAAGUGUUCCUAUCUACUCUGGAAGAGCAAGGGAAUUCAGAAUAAUGGAAAUAGCUCAUGAGAUGCAGAACCAGAAAGAAGAGGAAG
Molecule: long non-coding RNA, 1686 nt
Organism: Junco hyemalis (dark-eyed junco)
Lineage: Eukaryota; Metazoa; Chordata; Aves; Passeriformes; Passerellidae
Source: Ensembl